Molecule: long non-coding RNA, 1769 nt
Organism: Suricata suricatta (meerkat)
Lineage: Eukaryota; Metazoa; Chordata; Mammalia; Carnivora; Herpestidae
Exons: 3
Source: RefSeq, a predicted model, not a curated record
AAAUGGAUUAGAAGCAGGGAGCUAAACAACAUAUCUGUUAGAAACAUCAGGACAGGAAAAUGAUUGGAUCUGCUAUUGGCAGUUGAAAUAAAGAAGGGGGAUUAUUUUGCAAAGGUGGACUCUACAGCACUUGUAAAACUCGGUGUAGUAGAUUGGGUGUGAGGAAAAUGUGAGAGGCUGGCACUUUCCAGUGUGGUUGACUAGGUCUGGGUCACAAGGAUUGGAGAUCCAUGGCAGACUUAAGUUUGGGUGCUAAAGUUUCAUUUAUGACAGUAAUAGCACAUAUAAGAUGAUUUGAGUGGGGUUCAUGAGGUUUUAGAUUACAGAGAUUAGGUAAAUUUAGGUUUGGAGGAUUUUUUGUUCUUGAUUUAAAAAACAAGCAAGUUAAAUUUCUUUCUCUAAAGGAGUCCAAGUGAAAUAGUUUAUUACACAUGCUUUAAAAAUUUUCUGGAGACCCAUGUUCAGAUUAGAGGGAAAAUACUUCAAUUGCUGACAGAGAUGAAGAAUUUAUUAUGGCUUUAAAUGUAUUUUUAGCCCAUAAAACACUGUCUUAUUUUUUACACGAGCAAGCACGUUAAUCCUGGGGGAACAGAUUUGGAUAUGUGAUAUGGCCAUGUGAGUGGUAUUACUCAUUGGUUUUCUUAGCUCCGUAUGCAGGAAUCCCAUUUUGUAACUGCUUAACCUUUUGUUAUUUUGUUAGUUUACCAAAUUAUCAACAAUUUUGUGUAUGGAAGCUGAGUGGGAUGUCUUUGGGCAGAUGGAAUGAUUACCGAGCCCUGAGCUAUGUCACCGUGGCUUCCUGACAGCUUUCCUUUGGCACAACGAAAAUGUGUGCCCAGGAAUAUCAUGCAAUAGUUAAAUGUGAGGGAGAAAUACCAGGCUUAACCAAUUGAAGAAAAUGGCAAGACAAAUGACAAAUAUUUCCCCCUGGCCACACAGAGCCAUCAGCUCAGCUAUGCAGAUGAGCACAACCACCACCUAAGAUCUCUCUGCUGGGGCACAGCUGCAAAGAGAAAUGUGGUCUGCCAAGAUUGAGCACUGGUUCCUAUAAACCCUGCCUACCUUCUCAGUGGUCAAGCCUGGCAGAUUUCCUGUGAUCCGUGUGAGGCAAGAUCCAAAUUGGCCUCCUGGGAAGGCCCCUGCAAUGCUGGGGGCUGGAUGUACCCUUUGGGCUCUUUCCCCCACCAGUGUAGAAACCACAGGCCCAGGGAACCCCGCUUGGUAUGGUGUUAUGCUGUCCUGGGAAGGGGCACUAUGGUCAGAGUGUAGCCACUCCUCUUACCCCUUUGUAAGGUCAUCCUUUUCAGUCUUUUCCCUGGGGGUGGUUCAGCUUCAUCCCUGGGUUCGGAGAUUUUCACAGAACUGUCUUGUCUAUGGAUAUUUGUCAGUUGGUCUUGUGAAGGGGACUGGUCAGGAAUAACCUGGUCACCAUCUUGAUCCAUACUUUCCUGAUUUUCAGUUCCCUGCUGCUACCAAAUUGCUGAAGCUGUUCAAAAGAAUUCUUCAGAAACAUUCCUUCCCCAUUUGUAACUGUGUCUUAGAAUCCCGGGAUCAGCAUGCCUAGAAUAGAACCAUGAUUUCCUGAUUUCCAUUUGUCUGUUGUUUUCAAAUACCUGAAACUCUAAACAUUUUGCUUUGUUUUUAUAUUUAACUUACUCUUAGAAUCUUAUGAUUAAAAAAAUUAUAGCAGUGUGAUCUCAGUUGAAAAGAAUGAGAAUUUCCCCAUUUUUUAAAAAUCCUCUCAAACCCACGUUCCAUUAGCCUGGGGG